RNAcentral lists this ribosomal RNA (540 nucleotides) under uncultured archaeon. RNAcentral's name for it is "bacterial SSU rRNA". It matches the Rfam family "Archaeal small subunit ribosomal RNA", at positions 457 to 997 of the family's 1478-position model. The record is from RNAcentral.
GCCAGCAGCCGCGGGAACACCGGCAGCUCUAGUGGUAGCAAUUUUAUUGGGCCUAAAGCGUCCGUAGCCGGUUUAAUAAGUCUCUGGUGAAGUCCUGUAGCUUAACUGUGGGAAUUGCUGGAGAUACUAUUAGACUUGAGACCGGGAGAGGUUAGAGGUACUCCCAGGGUAGAGGUGAAAUUCUGUAAUCCUGGGAGGACCGCCUGUUGCGAAGGCGUCUAACUGGAACGGUUCUGACGGUGAGGGACGAAAGUUAGGGGCGCGAACCGGAUUAGAUACCCGGGUAGUCCUAACUGUAAACGAUGCGGACUUGGUGUUGGGGUGGCUUUGAGCUGCUCCAGUGCCGAAGGGAAGCUGUUAAGUCCGCCGCCUGGGAAGUACGGUCGCAAGACUGAAACUUAAAGGAAUUGGCGGGGGAGUACCACAACGCGUGGAGCCUGCGGUUUAAUUGGAUUCAACGCCGGACAUCUCACCAGAGGCGACAGCUGUAUGAUAGCCAGGUUGAUGACUUUGCUUGACUAGCUGAGGGGAGGUGCAUGG